Small nuclear RNA from Cavia porcellus (domestic guinea pig), 107 nucleotides. Lineage: Eukaryota; Metazoa; Chordata; Mammalia; Rodentia; Caviidae. The record is from Ensembl.
GUACUUGCUUGGGCAGCACAGAUAUUAAAAUUGGAAUGAUACAUAGAAGAUUAAAAUGACCUUUUCAUGAGGAUGACAUGUGAAUUUGUGAAGUGUUUCAUAUUUUU